This 210-nucleotide ribosomal RNA is filed under the name Alkalicoccobacillus gibsonii. RNAcentral describes it as "partial 23S ribosomal RNA". It matches the Rfam family "Bacterial large subunit ribosomal RNA", at positions 183 to 387 of the family's 2925-position model. Lineage: Bacteria; Bacillati; Bacillota; Bacilli; Caryophanales; Bacillaceae. The record is from RNAcentral.
ACCCGGGGAACUGAAACAUCUAAGUACCCGGAGGAAGAGAAAGCAAAGGCGAUUCCCUGAGUAGCGGCGAGCGAAACGGGAUUAGCCCAAACCAAGAGGCUUGCCUCUUGGGGUUGUAGGACACUCUAUACGGAGUUACAAAAGAACGAGGUAGAUGAAGAGGUCUGGAAAGGCCCGCCAUAGGAGGUAACAGCCCUGUAGUCAAAACUU